UGCGGUUGGAUCACCUCCUUA
This 21-nucleotide non-coding RNA is filed under the name Xenopus tropicalis (tropical clawed frog). RNAcentral also lists the same sequence under 2 other names. The record is from RNAcentral. Lineage: Eukaryota; Metazoa; Chordata; Amphibia; Anura; Pipidae.